UUGACCUCAAAUCAGGUAGGACUACCCGCUGAACUUAAGCAUAUCAAUAAGCGGAGGAAAAGAAACUAACAAGGAUUCCCCUAGUAACUGCGAGUGAAGCGGGAAGAGCUCAAAUUUGAAAUCUGGCAGCUCUUUGAACUGUCCGAGUUGUAAUCUAGAGAAGUGUUACCUGUGUUGGACCGUGUUCAAGUCUCCUGGGAUGGAGCGUCAUAGAGGGUGAGAAUCCCGUCUUUGACACGGACUACCUGCACGUUAUGGUGCGCUCUCAAAGAGUCGAGUUGUUUGGGAAUGCAGCUCAAAAUGGGUGGUAAAUGCCAUCUAAAGCUAAAUAUUGGCGAGAGACCGAUAGCGAACAAGUACCGUGAGGGAAAGAUGAAAAGAACUUUGGAAAGAGAGUUAAACAGUACGUGAAAUUGCUGAAAGGGAAACGCUUGAAGUCAGUCGCGUCGGCUAGAAAUCAACCUUGCUUUUGCUUGGUGUACUUUCUUGUUGAUGGGUCAGCAUCAAUUUUGACCGUUGGAUAAAGUCUUUGGGAAUGUGGCAUCUUAGGAUGUGUUAUAGCCCAUUGUCGCAUAC
RNAcentral lists this ribosomal RNA (576 nucleotides) under Inocybe lilacina. Its description in RNAcentral is "eukaryotic LSU rRNA". It matches the Rfam family "Eukaryotic large subunit ribosomal RNA", at positions 1 to 574 of the family's 3401-position model. The record is from RNAcentral. Lineage: Eukaryota; Fungi; Basidiomycota; Agaricomycetes; Agaricales; Inocybaceae.